RNAcentral lists this ribosomal RNA (466 nucleotides) under uncultured bacterium. RNAcentral describes it as "partial 16S ribosomal RNA". It matches the Rfam family "Bacterial small subunit ribosomal RNA", at positions 28 to 523 of the family's 1533-position model. The record is from RNAcentral.
GAUGAACGCUGGCGGAGUGCCUAAUACAUGCAAGUCGAGCGGCAGCACGAGAAGUUUACUUCUUGGUGGCGAGCGGCGGACGGCUGAGUAACGCGUGAGAACGUGCCCCAAAGUGAGGAAUAACUACCCGAAAGGGUGGCUAAUACCGCAUAUGAUCUUCGGAUUAAAGCUUUCGAGCGCUUUGGGAGCGCCCGCGUCCGAUUAGAUAGUUGGUGAGGUAAUGGCUCACCAAGUCGACGAUCGGUAGCUGGUCUGAGAGGAUGAUCAGCCAGACUGGGACUGAGACACGGCCCAGACUCCUACGGGAGGCAGCAGUAAGGAAUCUUCCACAAUGGGGGCAACCCUGAUGGAGCAACUCCGCGUGCAGGACGAAGGCCUUCGGGUCGUAAACUGCUUUUAUGAGUGAAGAAUAUGACGGUAACUCAUGAAUAAGGAUCGGCUAACUACGUGCCAGCAGCCGCCGUAA